UCUCCGUUGGUGAACCAGCGGAGGGAUCAUUACAGAGUUUUCACAACUCCCAACCCUGACGAACCGUACCCAUUCUGUUCUCGUUGCCUCCGGCGGGGGGGACGGGGGGGCCCGAAACGGCCUCCCCGCCCCGCCCGCCGGGGGCGGCGGGCCCUACGAACCUUUAUAUCUCAACCACCAGAAACCGUCUGAGAAAACAAACAAAAUAAUCAAAACUUUCAACAACGGAUCUCUUGGCUCUG
RNAcentral lists this unclassified non-coding RNA (242 nucleotides) under plant metagenome. RNAcentral describes it as "partial contains small subunit ribosomal RNA, internal transcribed spacer 1, and 5.8S ribosomal RNA". The record is from RNAcentral.